CAAAUUAGAGCUUGAAAGAAAGUUUUUUAUUUACAUUAAGAAGUUAAUUGUGAAAAUCAAUUUAAUUUGA
Molecule: transfer RNA, 70 nt
Filed under: Scarabaeidae sp. BMNH 1274750
Lineage: Eukaryota; Metazoa; Arthropoda; Insecta; Coleoptera; Scarabaeidae
Description: tRNA-Val
Source: RNAcentral